CCGAAUUGUAAACAAGAGCUGCUGCUGGUCCUCAUGCGGGGACAUGUGCACGCUCUGUUCACACAUCCAUUCACACCUGUGCACUCUCUGCAGUUCUGUGGUCCAGGGGGGCUUUGCUCUCCUGUGCUGUGGAUCCGCUUUUUUAUACACACGCGCCGUAACAAAGUCUUGUGGAAUGAGUUCCGCGUUUAACGCAAUACAAUA
RNAcentral lists this unclassified non-coding RNA (204 nucleotides) under uncultured fungus. RNAcentral's name for it is "sequence contains ITS1". The record is from RNAcentral. Lineage: Eukaryota; Fungi.